GAAGCAUCUACCCCUUCUUCGGCCGUAACGAGCAAAACUUCAUCGAUAAGUUCAAGCCGUGGUACUGCACCCACAGUCCGAAUCACAAGUAAUACGACUUCUCAGCCACCCGUACGUUCGAAGAAUUGUAA
Liolophura sinensis is the source of this 131-nucleotide long non-coding RNA. RefSeq lists it as uncharacterized. The record is from RefSeq and is a predicted model, not a curated record. The transcript has 3 exons. Lineage: Eukaryota; Metazoa; Mollusca; Polyplacophora; Chitonida; Chitonidae.